RNAcentral lists this ribosomal RNA (472 nucleotides) under uncultured bacterium. RNAcentral describes it as "SSU rRNA". It matches the Rfam family "Bacterial small subunit ribosomal RNA", at positions 26 to 518 of the family's 1533-position model. The record is from RNAcentral.
AGGACGAACGCUGGCGGCGUGCUUAACACAUGCAAGUCGAGCGGAAAGGCCCUUCGGGGUACUCGAGCGGCGAACGGGUGAGUAACACGUGAGGAACCUGCCCUUAACUCUGGGAUAGCUUCGGGAAACCGGAAUUAAUACCGGAUAUGACUGUGACCGGCAUCGGACACGGUGGAAAGAUUCAUCGGUUAGGGAUGGACUCGCGGCCUAUCAGCUUGUUGGUGAGGUAACGGCUCACCAAGGCGACGACGGGUAGCCGGCCUGAGAGGGCGACCGGCCACACUGGGACUGAGACACGGCCCAGACUCCUACGGGAGGCAGCAGUGGGGAAUAUUGCGCAAUGGGCGAAAGCCUGACGCAGCAACGCCGCGUGGGGAUGAAGGCCUUCGGGUUGUAACCCUUUCAGCAGGGACGAAGCGAAAGUGACGGUACCUGCAGAAGAAGCGCCGGCUAACUACGUGCCAGCAGCCGC